GAUGAACGCUGACAGAAUGCUUAACACAUGCAAGUCAUUGGCGAAGCUGCGCUUGCGCAGUCUAGCCAAGGCGGACGGGUGAGUAACGCGUAAGGAACUUGCCCUGCAGACAGGGAUAACAGACGGAAACGACUGAUAACACCUGGUAUUGUCAGGCUGGCGCAUGCCGGCCUGAUGAAAGGAGACACUGCAGGAGAGCCUUGCGUCCUAUUAGCUAGUUGGUGGGGUAACGGCCCACCAAGGCGAUGAUAGGUAGCCGGCCUGAGAGGGUGAACGGCCACAAGGGGACUGAGAUACGGCCCUUACUCCUACGGGAGGCAGCAGUGGGGAAUAUUGGACAAUGGGGGCAACCCUGAUCCAGCAAUUCUGUGUGCACGAAGAAGGUUUUCGGAUUGUAAAGUGCUUUCAGCAGGGAAGAAGAAAGUGACGGUACCUGCAGAAGAAGCGACGGCUAAAUACGUG
RNAcentral lists this ribosomal RNA (462 nucleotides) under uncultured bacterium. RNAcentral's name for it is "partial 16S ribosomal RNA". It matches the Rfam family "Bacterial small subunit ribosomal RNA", at positions 28 to 507 of the family's 1533-position model. The record is from RNAcentral.